AACCUUUAUACUGUACGAAGUGCGAUAGGGGGCUCCGAGUGUGAAGGCAUAGAGCCUUCACUUUUGUACACCGUAAGGUGGUGCACGAAUAAGGACUGGGCAAGACCGGUGCCAGCCGCCGCGGUAAUACCGGCAGUCCGAGUGAUGGCCGAUCUUAUUGGGCCUAAAGCGUCCGUAGCUGGCUGAACAAGUCCGUUGGGAAAUCUGUCCGCUUAACGGGCAGGCGUCCAGCGGAAACUGUUCAGCUUGGGACCGAAAAACUGAAGGGGACUCUGGGGGAAGAAGUGAAAUCUUGAAUCCUGGACGACCCCCGAU
This 315-nucleotide ribosomal RNA is filed under the name uncultured euryarchaeote. RNAcentral describes it as "bacterial SSU rRNA". It matches the Rfam family "Archaeal small subunit ribosomal RNA", at positions 345 to 664 of the family's 1478-position model. Lineage: Archaea; Methanobacteriati; Methanobacteriota. The record is from RNAcentral.